GCUCUUUGAGCGGCCGAUGUCAGAUUAGCUAGUUGGUGAGGUAACGGCUUACCAAGGCGACGAUCUGUAGCGGGUCUGAGAGGAUGAUCCGCCACACUGGAACUGAGACACGGUCCAGACUCCUACGGGAGGCAGCAGUGGGGAAUUUUGGACAAUGGGGGCAACCCUGAUCCAGCCAUGCCGCGUGAGUGAAGAAGGCCUUCGGGUUGUAAAGCUCUUUCGGCCGGGAAGAAAUCGCAUGGGCCAAUACCCUGUGUGGAUGACGGUACCGGAAUAAGAAGCACCGGCUAACUACGUGCCAGCAGCCGCGGUAAUACGUAGGGUGCGAGCGUUAAUCGGAAUUACUGGGCGUAAAGCGUGCGCAGGCGGUUUUGUAAGACAGGCGUGAAAUCCCCGGGCUCAACCUGGGAACUGCGCUUGUGACUGCAAGGCUAGAGUACGGCAGAGGGGGGUGGAAUUCCACGUGUAGCAGUGAAAUGCGUAGAGAUGUGGAGGAACACCAAUGGCGAAGGCAGCCCCCUGGGUCGAUACUGACGCUCAUGCACGAAAGCGUGGGUAGCAAACAGGAUUAGAUACCCUGGUAGUCCACGCCCUAAACUAUGUCAACUAGGUGUUGGGUGGGUAAAACCAUUUAGUACCGUAGCUAACGCGUGAAGUUGACCGCCUGGGGAGUACGGCCGCAAGGUUAAAACUCAAAGGAAUUGACGGGGACCCGCACAAGCGGUGGAUGAUGUGGAUUAAUUCGAUGCAACGCGAAAAACCUUACCUACCCUUGACAUGCCAGGAACUUGCCAGAGAUGGCUUGGUGCCCGAAAGGGAGCCUGGACACAGGUGCUGCAUGGCUGUCGUCAGCUCGUGUCGUGAGAUGUUGGGUUAAGUCCCGCAACGAGCGCAACCCUUGUCGUUAAUUGCCAUCAUUUAGUUGGGCACUUUAGCGAGACUGCCGGUGACAAACCGGAGGAAGGUGGGGAUGACGUCAAGUCCUCAUGGCCCUUAUGGGUAGGGCUUCACACGUCAUACAAUGGUCGGUACAGAGGGUCGCCAAGCCGCGAGGUGGAGCCAAUCCCAGAAAGCCGAUCGUAGUCCGGAUUGCAGGCUGCAACUCGCCUGCAUGAAGUCGGAAUCGCUAGUAAUCGUGGAUCAGCAUGUCACGGUGAAUACGUUCCCGGGUCUUGUACACACCGCCCGUCACACCAUGGGAGCGGGUUCCGCCAGAAGUAGGUAGCCUAACCGCAAGGAGGGCGCUUACCACGGCGGGGUUCGUGACUGGGGUGAAGUCGUAACAAGGUAGCCGUAGGGGAACCUGCGGCUG
Molecule: ribosomal RNA, 1312 nt
Filed under: metagenome
Description: bacterial SSU rRNA
Rfam family: Bacterial small subunit ribosomal RNA
Source: RNAcentral